This 552-nucleotide ribosomal RNA is filed under the name uncultured bacterium. RNAcentral's name for it is "bacterial SSU rRNA". It matches the Rfam family "Bacterial small subunit ribosomal RNA", at positions 912 to 1462 of the family's 1533-position model. The record is from RNAcentral.
GACGGGGACCCGCACAAGCAGCGGAGCAUGUGGUUUAAUUCGAAGCAACGCGAAGAACCUUACCAGGUCUUGACAUCCCUCUGAAAGCUUGGGUAAUGCCGAGCCCCUCUUCGGAGCAGAGGAGACAGGUGGUGCAUGGUUGUCGUCAGCUCGUGUCGUGAGAUGUUGGGUUAAGUCCCGCAACGAGCGCAACCCUUGCCUUUAGUUGCCAGCAGUAAGAUGGGCACUCUAGAGGGACUGCCGGGGACAACUCGGAGGAAGGUGGGGAUGACGUCAAAUCAUCAUGCCCCUUAUGAUCUGGGCUACACACGUGCUACAAUGGUCGGUACAAAGAGAAGCUAAGCCGCGAGGCAGCGCGAAACUCAAAAGCCGAUCCCAGUUCGGACUGCAGGCUGCAACUCGCCUGCACGAAGUCGGAGUUGCUAGUAAUCGUGAAUCAGAACGUCACGGUGAAUGCGUUCCCGGGUCUUGUACACACCGCCCGUCACACCAUGGAAGUUGGGGGCGCCCGAAGGGUGAUCUAGGUUUACCUAAGUAGAAACCAAGAAAAGG